RNAcentral lists this unclassified non-coding RNA (399 nucleotides) under soil metagenome. Its description in RNAcentral is "partial contains 5.8S ribosomal RNA, internal transcribed spacer 2, and large subunit ribosomal RNA". The stretch from base 1 to 120 matches the Rfam family "5.8S ribosomal RNA", at positions 35 to 154 of the family's 154-position model. The record is from RNAcentral.
GAUGAAGAACGUAGCGAAAUGCGAUACUUGGUGUGAAUUGCAGAAUCCCGUGAACCAUCGAGUCUUUGAACGCAAGUUGCGCCCGAAGCCUCGGCUAAGGGCACGUCUGCCUGGGCGUCACGCAUCGCGUCUCCCCCAAACCGCCAAGGCGGAGGGGAAGGAAGAUGGCUUCCCGUGCCUCACCCGGGCGCGGUUGGCCUAAAUUUGGAGCCCGCGGCACUUAGCUCUCGCGGCGAUAGGUGGUGAACAAGGCCUUGGCCGUGCAAACAACCCGCUGCGAAGCUCUAUGUCACGUGCGCUCGUCGGACCCUUUGAAGUUGCCUUUGGUGACUUAAAACCUUUGCGACCCCAGGUCAGGCGGGGCUACCCGCUGAAUUUAAGCAUAUCAAUAAGCGAGGA